This is a non-coding RNA of Phascolarctos cinereus (koala), 516 nucleotides long. Lineage: Eukaryota; Metazoa; Chordata; Mammalia; Diprotodontia; Phascolarctidae. The record is from RefSeq and is a predicted model, not a curated record.
AAUUACACAGAAUUCUCUGAGCACAACAGGGAGAACAUUAUUCUCCCCAUUUUAUAAAUAAGGAAACUGAGACUCUAGCGUUUGGUGACUCGCAGCUGUAUUCGUCUUUGGCUCUCCCCUUGCCACGCAGCAUAAGACUUCUGAGGGCAGGGCCCUUGUCUUGGUCAUCUUUGUUCACAGGUGGUUGGAUUUUGAGUCUCUAAACUGGACCUGGCCUCCCAGCUGGACUAAGAGAAUAUGCUGAGGGUCCAAGAUCUACAGGACAUUGACAGCACAGGGGCCAGGAGAGGGCCCUGCUUUGGGAAAAACAGAACAAAUCUCAGUGCUCCUCAAAGCCUGCUCUUGCGCUCCCCCAAGACUAAGUAGAGGCAUGCUAAGUAUUCCCAUUCGUCAACUGAUCCUUGCAUGCCUUGGGCUGUGGUCUCCCCAUCCUGGCUCUCUUCCUCUGAACAUGCUGCAGCUUAUCCUGUUGUCUCUGCCUGGUGAAAGGUUUUUUUCUUUAAUAAAACAUCCUCU